Molecule: ribosomal RNA, 363 nt
Filed under: Triticum aestivum (bread wheat)
Lineage: Eukaryota; Viridiplantae; Streptophyta; Magnoliopsida; Poales; Poaceae
Description: partial small subunit ribosomal RNA
Source: RNAcentral
AUGCCUUUUGCUUCAUUUCCUAUUUAUACCCCGACCAGCUGGUACCUACUCCAUCCUCAAAACACACACACACUCCUCCCUCACCAAGUCACCGGGCCGCAGAGGGCGAUCAAGCAGCUAGUACACCUCUGCUGUGAGUCCGCAAUGUCGACUAGCUGCCGCGCUCCGGCCAACCGCUGCAUCUGCAAGACGCCGUCGGGGAACCCGCUGCCGCGGCGGGGCCAGGUCAAGGAGAGCAUCGCCAAGCAGAUCGUGGCGGCCGCCGUGGCCACGGCGUCGAUGGUCGUCUGCGACGCCGGCGCGGGCGGCAAGAAAGGCGGGGCCAAGCCGCCCGCCCCGCCCGCCGGUGCCAAGAAGAAAUGA